UACGUAGGGUGCAAGCGUUGUCCGGAAUUAUUGGGCGUAAAGGGCUCGUAGGCGGUCCAUCGCGUCGGGAGUGAAAAGCUGGGGCUUAACCCCAGUCCUGCUUCCGAUACGGGUGGACUAGAGGUAUGCAGGGGAGAACGGAAUUCCUGGUGUAGCGGUGAAAUGCGCAGAUAUCAGGAGGAACACCGGUGGCGAAGGCGGCGUUCUGGACUGUUUCUGACACUGAUAAACGAAAGCCAGGGGAGCAAACGGG
RNAcentral lists this ribosomal RNA (253 nucleotides) under uncultured bacterium. Its description in RNAcentral is "partial 16S ribosomal RNA". It matches the Rfam family "Bacterial small subunit ribosomal RNA", at positions 524 to 776 of the family's 1533-position model. The record is from RNAcentral.